Molecule: ribosomal RNA, 528 nt
Filed under: Cronobacter sakazakii
Lineage: Bacteria; Pseudomonadati; Pseudomonadota; Gammaproteobacteria; Enterobacterales; Enterobacteriaceae
Description: bacterial SSU rRNA
Rfam family: Bacterial small subunit ribosomal RNA
Source: RNAcentral
UGGAGAGUUUGAUCCUGGCUCAGAUUGAACGCUGGCGGCAGGCCUAACACAUGCAAGUCGAACGGUAACAGGAAGCAGCUUGCUGCUUUGCUGACGAGUGGCGGACGGGUGAGUAAUGUCUGGGAAACUGCCUGAUGGAGGGGGAUAACUACUGGAAACGGUAGCUAAUACCGCAUAACGUCGCAAGACCAAAGUGGGGGACCUUCGGGCCUCAUGCCAUCAGAUGUGCCCAGAUGGGAUUAGCUAGUAGGUGGGGUAACGGCUCACCUAGGCGACGAUCCCUAGCUGGUCUGAGAGGAUGACCAGCCACACUGGAACUGAGACACGGUCCAGACUCCUACGGGAGGCAGCAGUGGGGAAUAUUGCACAAUGGGCGCAAGCCUGAUGCAGCCAUGCCGCGUGUAUGAAGAAGGCCUUCGGGUUGUAAAGUACUUUCAGCGAGGAGGAAGGGGUUAAGGUUAAUAACCUUGGYCAUUGACGUUACUCGCAGAAGAAGCACCGGCUAACUCCGUGCCAGCAGCCGCGGUA